Molecule: long non-coding RNA, 287 nt
Organism: Homo sapiens (human)
Lineage: Eukaryota; Metazoa; Chordata; Mammalia; Primates; Hominidae
Source: Ensembl
ACCACAAGCCUCCUCGCUGAGAAAGCAAGCGGACUCACAGUUUUUCAGGGAGCCUGCAGCCGUGAUCCAGUUCUUUCAAAGGGUCUGUGAGUCUUUCAGCUUUCCUGCCAGACUAACGAAAAAAGGGAGAAGACCCAAGUAAAUAAAAUCAGAGAAGAAAAAGAAAACGUUACGAUUGAUAUUGCAGAAAUCCAAAGGAUCAUUAUUGGCUACUGUGAGCAACUAUAUGCCAAUAAAUUGGAAAAUCCAGUGGAAAUGAAUAAAUUUCUAAACACAUACUACCUACU